AAAAUAAAGUCAGUUAUCUACCUUCUGCUAAUGGCUGUGUUGUGCCUGUGUGUACAGGGUCCCUCGAAAGCACCUAGGGCCGAUCAUCGGAAAACCAGCAGCAGAUUUUUCAUAUUUGGCACAGAAAUCCUGGAGGGUGUCCUAACUCAUAGUCUAUUCAGGUACCUCUGUAUCUCUGUCCGAAAUGUGCAGUAGCGGAGCUUGAGAAUGUGAGAUGUAUGGGAUCCAGCCUCUGUUCAAGCAAUAAUGUUUGUGACGCUUUAUAAGUGAGGAAAUUAGAUUUUGUAUCUCAGCAUCUGAGAUGCCCUUGGCUGAAGAGCCAUUUACCCAUCAGUGCAGCCAGCUAUAAGUGUCCUGGGAAACAUUGUGUAUUUUGAGUUUAUAACCAUUUAAUUCAAUGUUUUUUCAGUUCUUCAGAGGAAGAAAAGAGACCAAACUUUGAAUGCAUCUGUUUCACUCUUCUCAUACAAUUCUUCUUUUAUCAAAUAUAAGGGAUAGCCUGAAGUUAUAGGAGGAAAAAUGUCUCUUGGCUACCAACUUCUGCAUCAGUGAGACCUUUGCUAAGACCCAGUUCCCGAGGUCAUAUUGAAAUAGAUGAAAAAGGCACAAAACUGUAUUUUGGUCCUCUGGUCUUAUUUUUUAGGUUGACAAGUAAACAUCAAAUAUAGAAA
Molecule: long non-coding RNA, 671 nt
Filed under: Anser brachyrhynchus (Pink-footed goose)
Lineage: Eukaryota; Metazoa; Chordata; Aves; Anseriformes; Anatidae
Description: lncRNA (ENSABRG00000021272.1)
Source: RNAcentral